GUAAUAAAUAUUAAUAAUUUUAAUGGGGGUUAAAGUAUAUUAAUAGAAAAAAUUAAAAAUUUUAUAGUGAAGUAUGUAUUGUGAAAGAAUUUUGAAAUAAGUGAAAUAAAUUAAAUUGGGGUAAAGUAAUUUUUAUUUAAUGUAUCUUGUGUAUCAGAGUUUAUUAAAUGAAAUUUUUAAUUAAAAAAUUCUCGAAUUUAAAAGAGAUAAUUAAUUGUAAAAGUUAUUGUAGAAUAAAUAUUUUAAAUAAUUAAUUGGAAAUGAAAUGUUAAUCGUUUUUAAAUAUAUCUAGUUUUUUUAGAAAAAAAUUUAAUUUUAAAUUUAAUUUAUUAAUUUAUUAAUUAAUUAAUAAAUUAAUAAAUUAAAUUUUAUAUUUUAAGGGAUAAGCUUUAAAUUAAAUUUAUAUAAUUUUUAUUUAAAUUUUGAAAAUUAUAUAAUUUAUAUUUUUAAUAAAUUAUAAUUUUUUAUAAAUAAUUUCAAAUAAAAUAAAAUUUAAUUAAAAUUUAUAAUAUUUAUAAAAAAAUAAUUUUUAAUUAAUAAAAAUUAGUUAUAAUGAUAAAAUUAGUAUAUAAUUAUAAAUUUAAUUUGGUUAUAAAUUAAGUUAAUUAUUUUAAAGGAAUUCGGCAAAAAUUUAUAUUCACUUGUUUAUCAAAAACAUGUCUUUUUGUAAAUAAUAUAAAGUCUAAUCUGCCCACUGAUUAAUUAAUUAAAGGGCUGCAGUAUAUUGACUGUACAAAGGUAGCAUAAUCAUUAGUCAUUUAAUUGAUGACUUGUAUGAAAGAUUGGAUGAAAUAUAAACUGUCUCUAAAAUAAUGUGUAGAAUUUAAUUUUUUAAUUAAAAAGUUAAAAUAAAUUAAAAAGACGAGAAGACCCUAUAGAGUUUUAUAAAUGAUUAAUUUAAUUUUAUUUAUAAAUAGAUAUAUAUAUAUAUAUAUAUAUAUAUAUAAAUUUAAUUUAUAAAUUUAUUUUGUUGGGGUGAUAAAAAAAUAAAAAUAACUUUUUUUAAAAAAAAAAUCAUAUAUAAGUGAAUAAAUGAUCCAAUUUUAUUGAUUAUAAGAAAAAAUUACCUUAGGGAUAACAGCGUAAUUUUUUUUUUUAGUUCAAAUAAGAAAAAAAGUUUGCGACCUCGAUGUUGGAUUAAGAUAAAAUUUAAAUGCAGAAGUUUAAAAUUUUUGAUCUGUUCGAUCAUUAAAAUCUUACAUGAUCUGAGUUCAAACCGGUGUGAGCCAGGUUGGUUUCUAUCUUUUAAAAAAAAAAAUAUUUUAGUACGAAAGGAUUAAAUAUUUAAAUUAAAUUUAAAAUAAUGAAUUUUAUUAAAUU
RNAcentral lists this ribosomal RNA (1320 nucleotides) under Asota paliura. Its description in RNAcentral is "16S ribosomal RNA". The record is from RNAcentral. Lineage: Eukaryota; Metazoa; Arthropoda; Insecta; Lepidoptera; Erebidae.